This 279-nucleotide ribosomal RNA is filed under the name Triticum aestivum (bread wheat). RNAcentral describes it as "partial small subunit ribosomal RNA". The record is from RNAcentral. Lineage: Eukaryota; Viridiplantae; Streptophyta; Magnoliopsida; Poales; Poaceae.
UGCAGCAAAGUUGAAGAUAAUUCAGAUAAUGUGGAGGUGAUUGCAACGCUCAGAGAGGGCUAUUCAUCUUCGGUGGCCAGUGCGAUUUUUGAUGAUUGUUACUUCAUGUCUUUAGAUUUCAAUCAUAUUGUUUAUGAGCAUUGUUUUAGAGAGAACAAUAAGGUAGCACACGAAUUAGCUAGUCUAGCUAGAUUCACUCCUCCUAAUGUAUGGAUGGAUGCUGCCUCGACGGCUGUCAUCCCCUUAAUUGUAUCAGAUGCUACAAUUGUAGCCAAUUAA